Neopsephotus bourkii (Bourke's parrot) is the source of this 458-nucleotide long non-coding RNA. RefSeq lists it as uncharacterized. NCBI's taxonomy places the organism in Eukaryota, Metazoa, Chordata, Aves, Psittaciformes, Psittacidae. The record is from RefSeq and is a predicted model, not a curated record. The transcript is spliced from 3 exons.
UUUUUUUACCCUAUUGAUAAAUGGGCUUUGGCAGUUACUAAUCAAUAUUUACUACCUUUUGAAUAUUUGUGGGAUGCUUCACUAGAUGCAGAACAAUUAAUUGUUUCUAGCAUUGGUACUUGCUUAAUCAUUUUUGAUGGCAGCUGGAGAGGAAUAUGAAUGUUCUCCUGGGUAAUGAUUAAGCUUCACAGACCUAUCAAAUCUGUCUUGCCUUUUCACACAAUUAAGCAUGGGAGCUGCUGAAUUUUGGAGCGACUGCAUUAACUAAAAGUCACUAUAAUUGUGGAGGAAUAAUUUGAUCUGUAAUACAAGCAAAUCUGUUCAUUGGAAAGGCAAGUAUAAGGAAAGAGGAAUUUUGUUCUUCAUACAGGUAAAGAAACAUCCUUUCAAACCAGACAUGUCAUCAGGUCAUGAGGACAAUCUUACUAAUUUUGUUGUUUCCCUGUUUCGGGGUUCUU